UGGGGAAUUUUGCGCAAUGGGCGAAAGCCUGACGCAGCAACGCCGCGUGUGUGAUGAAGGUCUUCGGAUUGUAAAGCACUUUCGACCGGGACGAAAACCCUGAGGCUAACAUCCUCAGGCUUGACGGUACCGGGAGAAGAAGCACCGGCUAACUCUGUGCCAGCAGCCGCGGUAAUACAGAGGGUGCAAGCGUUGUUCGGAAUUAUUGGGCGUAAAGCGCGUGUAGGCGGCUUUGCAAGUCGGGUGUGAAAGCCCUCAGCUCAACUGAGGAAGUGCGCCCGAAACUGCAGAGCUUGAGUGCCGGAGAGGGUGGCGGAAUUCCCCAAGUAGAGGUGAAAUUCGUAGAUAUGGGGAGGAACACCGGUGGCGAAGGCGGCCACCUGGACGGUAACUGACGCUGAGACGCGAAAGCGUGGGUAGCAAACAGGAUUAGAUACCCUGGUAGUCCACGCCGUAAACGAUGAGAACUAGGUGUCGUGGGAGUUGACCCCCGCGGUGCCGAAGCUAAC
This 509-nucleotide ribosomal RNA is filed under the name uncultured Pseudomonadota bacterium. RNAcentral's name for it is "bacterial SSU rRNA". It matches the Rfam family "Bacterial small subunit ribosomal RNA", at positions 355 to 856 of the family's 1533-position model. The record is from RNAcentral. Lineage: Bacteria; Pseudomonadati; Pseudomonadota.